Molecule: ribosomal RNA, 427 nt
Filed under: uncultured bacterium
Lineage: Bacteria
Description: bacterial SSU rRNA
Rfam family: Bacterial small subunit ribosomal RNA
Source: RNAcentral
GAACGCUCUUGGGGUUUCGGCCGCAAGGGAGUGGCGGACGGGUGAGUAGCGCGUGGGAACCUGCCUUGGAGUGGGGGAUAACCGAGGGAAACUUCGGCUAAUACCGCAUACGCCCGCGGGGGAGACCUUGCGGGGAAAGAUUGAUCGCUCGGAGAGGGGCCCGCGUCGGAUUAGGUAGUUGGUGGGGUAACGGCCUACCAAGCCAUUGAUCCGUAGCUGGUCUGAGAGGACGGUCGGCCACACUGGAACUGAGACACGGUCCAGACUCCUACGGGAGGCAGCAGUGGGGAAUUUUUCGCAAUGGGGGCAACCCUGACGAAGCAACGCCGCGUGGGUGAUGAAGUAUUUCGGUACGUAAAACCCUUUCGACGGGGACGAAACCGCAAGGUUGACGGUACCCGUAGAAGAAGCCCCGGCUAACUCCGUG